Molecule: long non-coding RNA, 2682 nt
Filed under: Mus caroli (Ryukyu mouse)
Lineage: Eukaryota; Metazoa; Chordata; Mammalia; Rodentia; Muridae
Description: predicted gene 13582 (MGP_CAROLIEiJ_G0005387.1)
Source: RNAcentral
CUCUGGUAAGAAAGAGUCUCACAAGAGAAGCAUUUGAAUUUUUCCCUGGGCACCACGGAGAACAGAGACUGAUGACAGUGAGGGACAUUCAUCAGGUGACUUCAUAUGAUUCAAGUCAGAGAACAGCUCACACUGGAUGGCAUGUUCAACCCAAAGGAAGGCCUGAGGAUCUCAAGGUUAAGGACAGAGUAGAGGUGAGCCAGGUGAAGAGGUUUGAAAGGUGCACAGGAGUCUAGAGCUGGUUGGAGUUGUACAGAAUGACAUUUGGAAGAAGUCUGUAUGGAUAAGAAAAGAGAGCUGUCAAGACAGGAAGUAACUGUGGAAUCUUAGGAAUGGAAGAGCUACUGAAGACAAGAGUCAUGAGUUGGGCUAAGAAGUAUGAACCAUCAGUGCAUGUCAGAGUCUGGUGAGGUAUGCACACUAAGAAUUCUUAUAUUGCUCUUCAUGGUCUUUUAAAAUAUACAUUACUAUUUACAAACUAACUACUUUUGUUUAGCAGCAACACAGAGUGUUCAGAAGAUCUUUUGAUGUUUAUUUGUUGCAAGUAGUUUUGUUUUGAGGCAGUCUUGUUAUAUAGCUUGAAUGGCCUCAAACUCACCAGAUUCCUACCCUCAACUCUAAGGUUCUGAGACUGUAAGAAUAGAAAAUCACCCCUGGUGACACUCAAGGUUUGACAUGUAUAACUCCAGGAUCCACAAAAUGAAAUCUGAAUAUAAGAGAAUGCAGACAUCAGACCAGAAGAUUUAGAGAUAAUCUUUCUUGAAGACUGUAAGACAACACCCAAUUCACAACAAAACCAUAUUAUUGAUUUGGGGUAUUGAUUCCUUUAAUCUGCAUCAUUAUUUGUUCAGCCCUCUAAGAACUCUGGCAUCUAUCUGUGGCAGGCAUAUUUCUGUCUUAUAGAAACUCUGUAGCAUUUCUUUUUAAGCAUUUUGACAUGUAUUGUACCCAUACCUCACAUGGCGUAUGGAAGGAAGACAACCCACCAAUCACCCUAAGUCUCAUAAAGAACAUAACAAUUUCACUGUCUUCCCAAUGUCCUGCUCAUAGAAAAUGUUUCUUCAACCUGGAUGAAGGUGUAAACACAAAACCUUCUCAGGGCUCAGAGCACUCAGUGGCUUGGUCUCUUCAAGAGUCAUGUAGGCAUUAGAUUUCAUUGGGAAGUCUUUUCGAGCUCUUUGCUCCAGAUGUGUGUCUCCUUGUGUCCAGAUACCAAGGACUUUUUAAGUAUUGUAUGCUUGGUGGACAUUUGAGUUACUUUGAGUGGUCCAUGAAGAUUCCUGUGCACGCUUCUUGGUGCAUCUAUAGAAGACUCUUGAAUAUGUUUGUGCCUGCAGCUGCGUUGUAGGACAAAGCAUAUAAAGUUGGAUAACAGCAAACCAUGUUCUUCACUGAUGACAGUACCAACACAUGCUUCUGAUAUUACUCUGGUCAACACUCCAGAAUCUCCUCCUCCAUCCUUCACCUGCUAGCAUCAUUUUCAUUGUCGGGGUGUUUUGUUUUGUUUUGUUUUUGUUUAUUUUGCUUGUUUGUUUGUUGCCAGCUUGGCAAAGAGUAAAAUGUCACCUUCUCGGAAUUACCAUAUUACUAAUUGAGUGUUAGUAUCUUCAUUUGCUGGUCUCCCUUUGUGAAUUAAAAAAAAAAUCCAUUUUAUUCUAGCAAGGUUUUUCUCUUUUUUUCAUGUUGUUCUGGAGAACCUCUCUAUAGAUUGUGCAUAAUAACCCUUUGUAGUUAUAAGUAAAGGUAAUUAUUUGGGAGGCUCGUUUUCUUAUUCUUUCUAGGCUCACUCUACAAACCAAGUAUCUCAAUAAUCUAACACUCUCUUUCCCCUUAUUAAUCUUCCUCCACAUCAGGAUCAGAUGGCUAUUCCUCCUGUUGUCCCCUAACAGCUUUGCAAUUUGGGCCUUUUGAGUGUAAGCUUUAAUGCAGCUGGAGUCCCCAUCUUUGAUAUUUGUGGGGCAGGCCUUUAUUUUAUUUUAUUUUAUUUUCCAAUGUGGAUAACCGAUUGACCCAGAAUCAUUUAUUGAAAAGUUCAUUCUUUGCCCACUGCCCUAUAAUACUGGCUCAGUCAUAAAUCAAACCUCUAUAUACGUCUGGGUCUGCUUUUGGCCUCUUGAAAAUGGACUGGAUUUUCAUCAUCCAGGAGGAAAAAAAAAUAGUAAGUAGAACAGUCUCACUUUGGCAAUUUCCUGUGUCUUUCAAACCUAGACUGAGUUCUUUCUCAACUUAUUUCUCUUCAGUCAGUCACCUUCAAAACCAUUAUUACUAGUCUCUCUGGGUUCCCCAGUAUGGGGCGUUAUCUAGUUCUUUACUUAAAAACCGAAGCGUUCUCAUAUGGAACCAAUCUGAGGAACAUUUUCAUCUCUCCUAGUUAGACACUGGACCACUCUAACCUGCAGGUUGGCAUUAAUCUCCAUAGUGCCCCGCAUGUGACAGAAACUAAGUAAAUCUAAUUUCCUCGUGAGAUUUUAUAUCGAUGAACGAGAAAGUGCAUGAGCUGCCUCCUGACACGUUCAAAUUGUGUUCACAUGAACUGUAUCUGUUUUUUUUUUUUCAAAAAAGAAAAACUGUAUGACCUAGAAACUUGUCUAAAUCAUAUAAAGAUAGGGGUUCCAGCUCACUGUUUUAUCAUUUUAAAAGCCUGUCUUAAAAUAUAAUCAUAUAAAGAUCUGAAUACUGAAG